Molecule: long non-coding RNA, 525 nt
Filed under: Jatropha curcas
Lineage: Eukaryota; Viridiplantae; Streptophyta; Magnoliopsida; Malpighiales; Euphorbiaceae
Description: long non-coding RNA (JCUR_LNC001459)
Source: RNAcentral
GAAAAAGAUGAAACCAUUAAAAAAAUCUCAAACCCAUACAAGAAUAACAAUGAAAGGAGAAAGCCUAUAGACACCAUCCUAUCUACUACCACCAUCAUUGUUGGAUUUAAAGGUUGGAUCUUGAGAGAAACUCUUGAACUUCAUUUUGAGCUGGCCAGUAGUGAACUAAAUAUUGUCUAAGCAAUCGAUGACAGAGGGAGUGAGAAGAAACGUCUCCAAAUCACCAGUCUUCCAUCCUGUUAUAACACCUUCAUCGCCUUGUGGAAUGACAUACAUGAACUCUAUAUAAAGAUAUAUGAACAAGAACUCCUCUAGUGGAUACCCCAUGCAUAGAUCUGCAUGAAAUAAAAGUAGAAUCAUAUAUCUACCUUGGAAAAAAAGGGAUAAACCUUAGAUAGAGCUCUAAAGGGGUAGAGGAAAAAUAUUAAAAAUAAGGAAAAUAAGAAAAAAAAGGAAAAGAAAAUGUAAAUAAAAGCAGAGAGAUGGCUAAUGCCGGUGAAGAAUCAUCGGCAGCGGCCUAUUCAG